RNAcentral lists this ribosomal RNA (253 nucleotides) under uncultured bacterium. RNAcentral describes it as "partial 16S ribosomal RNA". It matches the Rfam family "Bacterial small subunit ribosomal RNA", at positions 524 to 776 of the family's 1533-position model. The record is from RNAcentral.
UACAUGGGGUGCAAACGUUGCUCGGAAUUAUUGGGCGUAAAGCGCACGUAGGCGGUUCGUUAAGUCGGAUGUGAAAGCCCCCGGCUCAACUGAGGAAGUGCACCCGAAACUGGCGAGCUUGAGUACGAAAGAGGAUCGCGGAGUUCCCGGUGUAGAGGUGAAAUGCGUAGAUAUCUGGAGGAACACCGGUGGCGAAGGCGGCAUCCUGGACCGAUAUUGACGCUGAUGCGCGAAAGCCAGGGGAGCAAACGGG